GCACUCCGUCGGAUUCAUAUUCCUCCCCUCCCUAAUAAACCACACAGGUGGAUGUAACCACCCGGAUCUCGCCAGCUAGCCGGAUUCCCUAUUGUUGCAGGCUUGCUGCCAGGCUCCAGGGUAUAAAAUCCAGCUGUUACUGCUCCUAUCCAACCACCGCAUAUAGGAGUCGCAUCUACCGAUGAGCGCCACCAUGACAACACGGGAGAAAUAGCCGCCGCACCCAGAACCCAUCCUCACCAGCUCCCAGAAUCAGGGGUUUGGUCUGGGGUCUUCGUCGGAGUUCGCGGGAGCACGAGGUGCACUCGCCAGGCACGACUGAUGGCUGGAGCGGAGGGAAUUCUUCACCGGAGCAUGGACGUCGUGGUGGUGUCAUGUGUCGUCGUGGGAGGACUCCCCCACUACACCGCUGCCUAAGCGGGGUUGCAAGGAACCUGAAGCCCAACUCGGAGAAGUACCUGGUGCUACACCAAAAAGACAAGUUGUGUCCUUGAUCACAUUUUUUGACCUAAGAAUAUUUAUGUUUAUAAUAAUCACCAUGGCAUGCUUAGGUUAAAUUGAUGGGACCUAAUAGGUUACCUAGUUUUGUUUACCCUACACCUUGCAUACAAAUGAAUUAUUGGGUAGUCCUGCUAUUGCUUUACCUAGUUUUGGGAGUAAUAACAUUUAUGAAUUAUCAUCAUGUUCUAUUAUAUUGCUAGAUUAUUUA
This is a long non-coding RNA of Zea mays, 709 nucleotides long. RefSeq lists it as uncharacterized. The transcript has 2 exons. NCBI's taxonomy places the organism in Eukaryota, Viridiplantae, Streptophyta, Magnoliopsida, Poales, Poaceae. The record is from RefSeq and is a predicted model, not a curated record.